AGCAUGUUAGCUCAGCAGGUAGAGUGUCGGGCUCAUAUCCCGGAGGUAAGUACCCAAGGUUCACACAUUAACAAUCGACAAUACUAAACUAACAAUGAAUACAGGCCCCUGGAUCGAAACCAGGACAUGCUA
Molecule: transfer RNA, 132 nt
Filed under: Penicillium chrysogenum
Lineage: Eukaryota; Fungi; Ascomycota; Eurotiomycetes; Eurotiales; Aspergillaceae
Also listed under: 3 other names
Description: tRNA-Und (NNN) (tRNA-Und-NNN-4-1)
Rfam family: tRNA
About the family: Transfer RNA (tRNA) molecules are approximately 80 nucleotides in length. Their secondary structure includes four short double-helical elements and three loops (D, anti-codon, and T loops).
Source: RNAcentral